RNAcentral lists this unclassified non-coding RNA (200 nucleotides) under soil metagenome. RNAcentral describes it as "partial contains internal transcribed spacer 2 and large subunit ribosomal RNA". The record is from RNAcentral.
CAUUACACCCCUCGAGCUCAGCUCGGUAUUGAGGGAAUCGCCCCCCCGGGCGCCCUCGAAAUUUAGCGGUGACUUGGUUGGUCUUCGAGCGAAUAAAACUGUCACAUGUUCCGCUCUCGAAGACUCGAGCAUGUCGGCCGGACAAAACUACAUCAUCUAUGAUUGACCUCGGAUCAGGUAGGGAUACCCGCUGAACUUAA